RNAcentral lists this ribosomal RNA (502 nucleotides) under uncultured bacterium. Its description in RNAcentral is "bacterial SSU rRNA". It matches the Rfam family "Bacterial small subunit ribosomal RNA", at positions 29 to 523 of the family's 1533-position model. The record is from RNAcentral.
AUUGAACGCUGGCGGAAUGCUUUACACAUGCAAGUCGAGCGGCAGCGCGGGGCAACCUGGCGGCGAGCGGCGAACGGGUGAGUAACAUAUCGGAACGUACCCAGUCGUGGGGGAUAACUAUCCGAGAGGAUAGCUAAUACCGCAUACGACCUGAGGGUGAAAGCGGGGGACCGAAAGGCCUCGCGCGAUUGGAGCGGCCGAUAUCGGAUUAGCUAGUUGGUGAGGUAAAGGCUCACCAAGGCGACGAUCCGUAGCUGGUCUGAGAGGACGACCAGCCACACUGGAACUGAGACACGGUCCAGACUCCUACGGGAGGCAGCAGUGGGGAAUUUUGGACAAUGGGGGCAACCCUGAUCCAGCCAUUCCGCGUGAGUGAAGAAGGCCUCGGUUGUAAAGCUCUUCGGUCAGGAACGAAACGGUAGGUCCCGUAAUACGGGCGUACUAAUGACGGUACCGUGAAGAAGAAGACACCGGCUAACUACGUAGCCAGCAGCCGCGGUAA